AUCCAGCUGUUGAGUCCCAAAUACGACGAAACGCACGUCAUGGGU
Molecule: non-coding RNA, 45 nt
Filed under: Schistosoma mansoni
Lineage: Eukaryota; Metazoa; Platyhelminthes; Trematoda; Strigeidida; Schistosomatidae
Source: RNAcentral